GAUGGCCAUAUCACGUUGAAAUACCUGUUACCGAAGUUAAGCAACGUCGAGCCUGAUCAGUACCUAGAUGAGUGACCUCUUGCGAAUACUAGGUGCUGUAAG
Molecule: non-coding RNA, 102 nt
Organism: Acanthosepion pharaonis
Lineage: Eukaryota; Metazoa; Mollusca; Cephalopoda; Sepiida; Sepiidae
Source: the annotation of a GenBank genome assembly